UGCACGCCUCCUAUUGGAGGGCACACGUUCACCGUGACCCUACGGGUUCACUGAAUUCGUUCUCGGUUUUGAUUGCAGCAUCAUGGUGAGUCUGGUGACGAACCCAAGCUUUAUUUCAGCGUCAAUAGGAGGGUUUUACAGAUGAAGUGAUUGAAGUGGUAGUUCAAGAGCAAACGAGAGUUUACAGGUUUGAAUUCAGUUGGACGUUAAAACUAUAUUGAGGCCAUUCUUCCAUUAAUUCACCCCUAUCAACAACCGAACCAGACUCCAUUGUCAGAGAUUCUCCGCUCGGCGUCACUUAACUCGUAAGCGUAAUCUUUCUCUCUCCUUAUUGCAUGCAAUUUGUGAUUGUCUUCGAUGUUUCUUCGGUCAAUCACUUCCAACAAUAAAAUCUUCUUAAAAUUGACCAACUUAUCAACUUUCUCAUCUCUAUUUUUAAACCUUCUCGCUAACUCCAUUUUUGCAUCAAAUUUUGGUUCCUCAUCCUCAUCUUCUCUUCAGACAUUUACAGAUUCGAAGUCCAUCUCUAAUCCUCUAUACUAUUUACUCCCGAGCCCUUAUAAUCCAUAUAAUAUUGUUAACUUCAUCUGCUCAAAGCUGAAAGAUGAUAACGGGAAUCUCACAUCUGUUCAAAAAGACAUUGAAUGGAUUCGUGCGUAUUUGGGUAUCCACGAGAUUUCUAGGGUAUUAUUGAGAUGCCAAUCUGACCCCUUCACUGCUCUCAAUUUCUUUAAUUGGGUAAAAAGUGACCUGGACCUCAAACCAACCGCUCAAAACUACUGUAUCAUCAUUCAUAUAUUGGUCUGGUCCCGGAAAUUCAUUCAAGCAAUGCAUUUUAUCUCUGAACUGAUAAAAUUAGCUAACCCAAGUGAAGAUGCCUUCCGAAAUUUGGUUUUGUCCAGUGAAGUUUGCAAUUGGGAUCCGCUUGUUUUUGACAUGCUCAUCAAGGCUUAUGUCAAGGCCAGUAGGGUUGAAGAAGGCUUCAAAACUUUCAAGGAGACUCUAAAGAUUGGAUUUGCUCCUGAUGUCACUGCUUGCAAUUGUCUUUUGAAUGGUUUGCUGAAGUCAAAUUAUCUUGAUCAAUGUUGGGAAAUCUACCAAGAAAUGGAAACGAUUGGAAUAUUUCCCAAUGCGUAUACAUUUAACAUAUUGACCCAUGUGUUGUGUAGGGAUGGGGAUCUGGGUAAGGUGAAUGAGUUCUUGGAUAAGAUGGAGGAAAAAGGGUUUAUUCCUGAUGUUGUGACGUAUAACACGCUUAUUGAUAGCUUUUGCCAGAAGGGAAUGUUGGAAGAUGCUUUCUAUUUGUAUAAGAUCAUGUAUAGGAGGGGCGUGCCACCGAAUUUGGUGUCAUAUACUUCCUUGAUGAAUGGUCUUUGUAAGAAAGGAAAAGUGAGGGAGGCUCAUCAACUCUUCCAUCGUAUGCUUCACAGAGGGUUGAGUCCAGAUGUUGUUACAUAUAAUUCUCUUAUUUCUGGUUAUUGUAAGGAAGGGAAUAUGAAAGAAUCAAGGUCUUUGUUGUAUGAAAUGAUUCAGAAUGGUUUGUUGCCUGAUAGUUUCACUUGCCAGGUACUGGUACAAGGAUAUGCAAAUAUGGGUAGAUUGCUUUCUUCUUUGAAUUUGGUUGCUGAAAUUCAGAGACUGGGAGUUUCAAUCCCUCAUGAUAUGUAUAGCUACCUUAUAGUUGCUUUAUGUUUGGAUAACCGGCCCAAUGCGGCAAAGUCUCUCUUGCGAAGAACUUUUUCAGAUGGUUAUGAACCAAAUUUGGGGGUUUACAAUUUGCUUAUUGGAUCCUAUUGCAACUGUGAUAAUUUUGACGAAGCAUUGUUGUUGAAGGGUGAGAUGGUCCAGAAGGCUAUAAAACCUGAUUUGGAUACAUACAGGGCUCUUAUAGGUUGCUUGUGUAGAUUAUGCAAGAUUACCGAGGGAGAGUCCUUGUUGGGGGAGAUGGUUGAAAUUGGUCUUUUUCCUGACUCUGUUAUUUGCAGGGCCUUAAUAAUGGGAUAUUGCAAGGAAGGGGAUCUUGAGAAAGCAGAGUCACUACUAAGCUACUUUGCUCAGGAAUUUCAGUUUUGUGAUGUAAAAAGUUGUAAUACACUCAUCCAAGAAUAUUGUGAGAAAGGUGAUGUAACAAAAUCAUUGGAAUUGCAGGAUAGGUUCUUGAAGUUGGGUUUUGUGCCAAAUAGUUUGACAUUCAAGUGUUUGAUACAUGGCUUAGCAAGAACUAGAAAGGAUUGCUAGGAAGCCUCCAGAAUUUGUUGAUGGUGUUGAUGCAUUGGUAUAUGAAGUCUCAUCUUGGCUAUUUUAAAUGAAGCUGGUAAAAACAUCAAUGGAUUUUGCAUUGGAGAAAUUGUCUGGCCCUCUCAAGUGUAGAUCCGAUGAGGCGGUCAACCUUGAAGAAAACUAUCAAAAACUCAAGAUGGAAGAACGUCUCUUAAACAAGAAGAGUCGUGUUGAAAAUGUGAUAGAGGAAUAUAUGCCGUUUCAGAAUCACUGAAGAGUGAAGUUAAAAAAUGGAUUGAAGAUGUCAAUCUUUUUGAAAACAAGCAAGGGAUGUUACGUGUUGAUAUCCAAGAAUACAAUGGAGAGCCUAUUAGACGGUUUGAUAUUUUGCAACGUGUGCAGCUUGGAAGCUAAGGCGUGUAGUAACUCAGUUGAAAGAGAUUGCUAGGCUUCAAGAGGAAGGCAAGUUUGAAGAAAGGAUGGCAAUCAAUGCACUCCCAGUCCCACGUAGAAUAUAAUUGAGCCAAUGUACGGUUUGAUAUUUUGCAACGUGUGCAGCUUGGAAGCUAAGGCGAGUAGUAACUCAGUUAAAAGAGAUUGCUAGGCUUCAAGAGGAAGGCAAGUUUGAAGAAAGGAUGGCAAUCAAUGCACUCCCAUUCCCACGUAGAAUAUAAUUGAGCCAAUGUUUGCACCAUUAGUGAAAAGUGGGACUGGGACUAGGACUACUUCAACAGAGUGUACUGUACAGAAGAUAUUGGGAUGCCUCAAAGAUGAUAAAUUCUGGAAGGUUGGAGUAUGGGGAAUGGGUGGGGUGGGUAAGACUACUACAGUCAAGAUGUUACACAAUUUACCAGUAAUAAAUUGAAAGACAUGUUCGAAAUUACUAUCUGGGUAACAGUGUCCAAAGAUGGGGAUGUGAGAAAGGUACAAGAUCGAAUUGCUCAACGAUUGAAUUUGAAUUUGAGUCUGGGUAAGGGUGAACAAUCUCAUGAUGGUGAAGUUACGUUGCAAGAAGAUGGAUACUACAAACAUUGUUAAGCAAGAAGUGGUUGCUGAUUUUGGAUGAUAUGUGGGACAAAGUUGACUUGGAAGAUGUAGGAGUACGUCCCUACACAGAGCAGAAGAAAUGGAUCCAAGAUAGUAUUAACAACUCGAUCCCGAAAAGUCUGUAACAAUAAAAUGGAGACUGAUGGAGAUAUCAAAGUGGAUGUUUUGCCCGAGGAAGAAGCAUGGGAUCUGUUUCGAGAAAUAGUUUCGGAAGUUGUGGAUGCUCCAGAGGUACGAAGCAUUUCCCAGAAAAUAGUUGAGAAGUGCAAAGGUUUAUCACUUGCCAUUAAGCUAAUCGGUGGGUCAUUGAGAAAGCAAGGGAUAUGGAAUACUCACGUGUGGAAGAAUGCACUUAAUGAACAAGUAUGAGAUUAUUGAUGAUAUGGAGGAGUCCGUCUUCAAGAUUUUGAAGUUCAGUUUUGAUCGGUUAAGGAGUGCAAACCUGAAGAAUUGCUUCUUAUAUUGUGCAUUAUCUCCAGAAGAUCAUUUUAUCUUAAUUGAGGAAUUGAUAUAUUAUUGGUUUGGGGAGGGUUUUAUUAAUGAUGAUGGAAUGCAAAGCUUGGACGAUGCAAUUAAUAGAGGGUAUGCUAUAGUGGAUGAGCUCUGCAAUGCCUCUUUGUUGGAGUUAAUGGAGGAUUGGGACAAGAAUAAAUGUGUGAAGAUGCAUGUUGUACAUGAUUAGAGACGAUCUAGCAUUGAAAAUCACAUCAUCAUUUUCCUCGGAUAAUUCUGAUAGUGAUAAGGGAGAAAGUGGUGAUAGGUUCUUGGUAUGCUAUAGUGGUAAGAGCAAGAUUGGUUAUUAAGGAACACCUCCUUAUGUGGAGGAAUGGAAACAGAAACAAAGAAUCUCAUUGAUGCACAAUUACAACCUUGGUAAUUGUCUACCCGACACUCUUGACAUUGUUGCUCCAACGAAAUGAAAUGCUGAAGCAAAUCCCAGAGUCAUUCUUUGAACACAUGCAUGCAUAAGUUUCGAGUUCUAGACAUAUCAGGUACUGAUAUAGAUGAUUUACCGCCCUCUGUUUCAUUCCUUCGAGGGUUAUAUGCAAUGUGUACAAGGUUGCGUACAUGUCCAUCCCAAAUAGGGUAUCUCAACAGACUUGAAGUGCUUCAUCUUGGAGAUAGGAUCGACCAUUUGCCGACAGAAUUCACUAAUUAUAAAUCUUUUUAUAUUCAUUUAAUAAAUUGUUAAUUAGUUAAACAAACUCUCAUAUUCAUGGUAAAAAUGGUUAAUUGUCAUUUUUUAGAACUCAA
Molecule: RNA transcript, 4521 nt
Organism: Nelumbo nucifera (sacred lotus)
Lineage: Eukaryota; Viridiplantae; Streptophyta; Magnoliopsida; Proteales; Nelumbonaceae
Gene name: Pentatricopeptide repeat (PPR) superfamily protein
Source: RefSeq, a predicted model, not a curated record